Molecule: RNA transcript, 2176 nt
Organism: Entelurus aequoreus (snake pipefish)
Lineage: Eukaryota; Metazoa; Chordata; Actinopteri; Syngnathiformes; Syngnathidae
Gene: bicdl1
Gene name: BICD family like cargo adaptor 1
Exons: 11
Source: RefSeq, a predicted model, not a curated record
AUCGCGCUCAUCUUCCCUCCAGACUGACGUCUCCUGAGUAGCAAGCGGGCAGUAAUGGAGCCGCCGGAAGGACACUGCGACGGGAUGGCCGCUGACCAGCACACCGUGUGGAUUCUACUCGGAUAAUAACACUCCUUUUCAUUCGCUCACAGCCAGACUGCACUGAACGACGAGCGAGGGACGUCGUUAGAGAGGCCGGGAGGAUGAAUGAAUAUUCCGUGACAAGCCGGUCUAGUCAGCCCAACCCAGUCCGAGCUGGGUGGCUUCAUCCGGCGUAAAAGCAGCCACCUUCCACCGGUGAUGUCUGCCUUCUGCCUCGACCUGAACACGCCCGGAGGUGUGAGUCCAGCACCACUGGAGCUGGACAGCGACACCAUGGAGCCGCGCCACAGCCCGGCGAGCCACCAGCCCGGCGGCCGCCCGAUGCUUCACGCCGGCUCCGGAGGCCUCGGCGUGGCACUGGAGGAGGAGCUGGCCAUGCUGGGUGAGAAGCCGGGCGAGGAGGAAGAGCUCCCGGUGGUCCACAACGCAGACUUGCGGUCCCUCUUUCGCCAAAAGGAGAAAGAUUUGCUCCUGGCUGCCAAACUCGGCAAAGCUUUGUUGGAAAGGAACCAAGACUUGAGCAAGCAAUAUGAGAAAAUGCACAAAGAUCUCAACGACAAAUUAGAGCACUUGGAGCAGGAGAAGCAUGAGUUGCGUUGGCGUCUGGAAAGUCGAGAGGGGGUGUGGGAGAGUCGCGUGGCCGAGUUGGAGAGCGACGUUCAGCAGCUGCAAGGAGAUCUGGAGCGACACCAGGUCCAGUUGAGAGAAACCGACAGGGACAAAACCAAGGCCAUCAGUGAACUGUCAGAACAGAACCAUAGAUUGCGGGACCAACUUCGAAGGGCUGCUGAGGUGGAGAGGCAGCUAACCAUUCAGGUCCAUUCAUUACGGGAUGACUUCAGGGAGAAGAAUACGUCUGCCAGCCAGCACAUGACACGACUAGAAAUACUACAAGCUGAAAUUAAAAUGCUGUCGGAGAGGAAGAUGGAGCUGGAACGGCGGAUGCAGGUCGUGCUGGAGGAGAAGGAAGUGCUUAGGAAUACCGUAGAAGACCUCAGAGAGAAGACGCUGGUGUUGGAGAGGCAGUGUCACGAGAAAGACCAACAGUUGCAGCAGAGUCAGGUGGCGCUUCUGGAGGUUCAGUUGUCCCACAGACAGCUGGCAGCUCAACUAGAGGAGCUAACGGAGGAGAACAGCCUGCAAAGCCUCACCCCUCACCGGUCUAGCCUAUUGUGUGAGAUAGAACAAAGUAUGGAACAGGAGGAGCAGGAGCAGGAGCGGGAGCAGCUGCGUCUUCAACUAUGGCAGGCCUACUGUGAGGUGCGCUCACUGUGCUCCCAUCUCCGGGGUAACGACGUCACAGACUCUGCGCUAUCCACAGAUUCUUCCAUGGACGAGUCCUCGGAGACGUCCUCAGCCAAGGACGUACCUACCGGGAGCCUUCAUGCCAACCUGCUGGAACUACGCAGGCUGACACAGAACCUGCUUGAUGGCAACGAGUCCACGGGCUCUCGGCGCAGUGAUGAGGAAGCUUUGGAAGAACAGUUGAGGAAGCUUGGAGAAGAACUAAGAGAAGUCCGAGAACUGUAUGAAGUGGAGCAGGACAAGACGCACAACAGUAAAGAGGAGCUGCUACAGCUGCACAAUCAGAUGACGCUGCUCUCAGUAGAAAUGUGUUCCCUCCAAGAGGAGACCGAGCUGUUGAGGACCAUGGCUGAGGUCCGAGAGCCCAGCGAGCAGCUCCAGAGUGCAAUCAAAGACAGAGAUGAGGCCAUUGCAAAGAAGAAGGCAGUGGAGAUGGAGCUGGCCAAGUGUAAAAUAGACAUCAUGUCUUUAAAUAGUCAGCUUCUGGACGCCAUCCAACAGAAGCUCAACCUAUCACAGCAGCUGGAAGCCUGGCAGUUUGCAUCCUCAGGGCUCUUUACAGUAUGGCUCUUGUGGUUUCUGAUCUAGUGGCCUUUCUCAGCUUCUGUACCACCCUCUCUACCCCGUGGUGCCCUCCCCCUUCCUGCCUUAGAGGAUGACAUGCACAGAGUGAUUGACCAGCAGUUGAUGGACAAGCACCAGGACGAGUGGCGGUCUCCUCACCCCUCGGGGUCGUCGAGGGCUCACAGCGCUCAGUCCUCCAGACGAG